This is a small nucleolar RNA of Pomacea canaliculata, 150 nucleotides long. RefSeq annotates it as small nucleolar RNA SNORA79. The transcript has a single exon. The record is from RefSeq and is a predicted model, not a curated record. NCBI's taxonomy places the organism in Eukaryota, Metazoa, Mollusca, Gastropoda, Architaenioglossa, Ampullariidae.
UGAUGGCGUCUCCCUGUGUGUUUAUCAGCAUAAACACAUAGUUUUAUGCCAUCAGAGAAGAAGAUGCAGUUUCUUCAUCUUUUGCCCCAGACAUGCAUAUUUUGUGCAAUGUCAGCCAUGGGGUGGAAGGAUUUGCGGACUGCUACAAAA